This 253-nucleotide ribosomal RNA is filed under the name uncultured bacterium. Its description in RNAcentral is "partial 16S ribosomal RNA". It matches the Rfam family "Bacterial small subunit ribosomal RNA", at positions 524 to 776 of the family's 1533-position model. The record is from RNAcentral.
UACGAAGGGGGCUAGCGUUGCUCGGAAUCACUGGGCGUAAAGCGCACGUAGGCGGCUUUCUAAGUCAGGGGUGAAAUCCUGGAGCUCAACUCCAGAACUGCCUUUGAUACUGGAGAGCUUGAGUCCGGAAGAGGUGAGUGGAACUCCGAGUGUAGAGGUGAAAUUCGUAGAUAUUCGCAAGAACACCAGUGGCGAAGGCGGCUCACUGGCCCGAUACUGACGCUGAGGCACGAAAGCGUGGGGAGCAAACAGG